ACAAACUUGGUCAUUUAGAGGAAGUAAAAGUCGUAACAAGGUUUCCGUAGGUGAACCUGCGGAAGGAUCAUUAACAAUUGUCCAGUCGUAUGGAUAAUUUAUCCAUAUCCACCUUGUGUGCACUAUUGAUUUGUUUGUUGGCAGGUUAGCUCUGGAAUGGGGCUUUUGCUCGGCCUGCCAAUUUUUCCUUUUAAACAUGUCUAAAUAUUUUGGACUGAAAUAUUUACUUUAAUAAUAAAUACAACUUUCAACAACGGAUCUCUUGGCUCUCGCAUCGAUGAAGAACGCAGC
RNAcentral lists this unclassified non-coding RNA (291 nucleotides) under uncultured fungus. RNAcentral's name for it is "partial contains small subunit ribosomal RNA, internal transcribed spacer 1, and 5.8S ribosomal RNA". The stretch from base 1 to 73 matches the Rfam family "Eukaryotic small subunit ribosomal RNA", at positions 1759 to 1831 of the family's 1831-position model. Lineage: Eukaryota; Fungi. The record is from RNAcentral.